RNAcentral lists this ribosomal RNA (106 nucleotides) under Pteropus alecto (black flying fox). Lineage: Eukaryota; Metazoa; Chordata; Mammalia; Chiroptera; Pteropodidae. The record is from RNAcentral.
GCCUACGGCCAUACUACCCCGAACACGCCCAAUCCCGUCUGAUCUCGCAAGCUAAGCAGGGUCAAGCCUGGUUAGUACUUGGAUGGGAGACCAGGUGCUGUAGGAG